UUCAAGCAAGCAACAAUGUUCAAGUUAAUUAUUUUCCAAAGCCAUUCUCAAGUCAGCACCUACACAGCUGUUAACGUGUGAUAUGCUUCCAUUUAUUACAAUUGUCUCCACAUCUGAACUUCAUCUGUUCGAAAAUAAAAGAUCUUAAAUUAGAAAUAUGAUUGAAAAUCAAAGCAGGAGUACAAGGCAUGUGAAAAACAGAGAUGGAAUCCUAGCCAUUUUUUUUUUGGUAUUCGCAUAUCCACCCAUUUUCUUCUUUCCUUUCCUUUUCACUGGAUCUCCCCCCGAUCUUUUGUACUCAUUUCAAUAUUUAGAGCAAUUCAUAUCCCCCUGUAUCUCUAUCUCCCCAUACAUUCUCGCCUACCACACACAUCCACUCUGUACUCUACUCUUACAUUUUUCUGUCUCCUUCUAUCUUUUUUCGGCAAUGUCAAUUUCAGGUUCAUGUCUUCUAAUAAUUGAAUUUCCCUUUGAGCACGUGAAUGUGUGUGGGGGAUAUUUGUAGAGUUAGAGAAUUGGAGCUGCUAGUUAAUCUAAGCAUGAAGAUCUAUUUUUGAAAUUCAGAAUUACACCACCAAUUUGAGAUUAGUCUAACAACCUCACAACUAGACGAGUUUCAGUCAAACGCGCCAAACAGAUGGAAAAUCAAUAAAAUUCACAAGAAAAUUGCAUCACAGACUAGUAUAUAAACUAACUCGCACCAUCUUCCGUUAAUAAAAUAAGAAGAGUAAGAGAUGAACCUGAAUGCGCAGAACUUUGGAUUAAUGCUGAAAGUGAAUACAAGCACAAGAAACAUAAGAACACACUUGAGAGGAAGAAAACAGCUGCUGCAAUUUGAGCUUCAACAGGAGCAAACACAGGAAAUGGACACCUCAAACGGCGACUUCCAACCGUGACAAACUGGAAUCAAUUAAACUCCAUAAUUAAGAAUCAAAAUCGAAGUUGGAAAGAGAGAUUAGAAAUAUUUUUUGUGUUAUUUUUCUUUUCUAAGAACUCAAAAUCAAAAGAAGAAAAAAAAAUCUUCAAAAUCUUGUUCUAUUUUCCUCUCUACUGUUUCGUUUCCUCUUUACUGCAUAUUACUAUUUUUUGCCAUUUUUCUUUUGUUCUCUCUUUGGGGUGUGUGUGUUGUCCAGAGAAAGAGAUGGAUGAAUCUCUGGGGAAAGGCAGGCGCUGCUCAAGGGUCUUUUUCUUGGGGUAAUCGGCGCUGGAAUUUUGGGAAUUAGGUUCUAGCUUUUUUUUUAGCUGCUGAUGCUUGCCUUUUGUGUUGAAGUCUUGAAGAUGGGGAAAAGGGGUCACGGCUGGGGUAUCCU
Molecule: long non-coding RNA, 1310 nt
Filed under: Nicotiana tabacum (common tobacco)
Lineage: Eukaryota; Viridiplantae; Streptophyta; Magnoliopsida; Solanales; Solanaceae
Description: long non-coding RNA (NTAB_LNC017454)
Source: RNAcentral